This 76-nucleotide transfer RNA is filed under the name Candidatus Vecturithrix granuli. RNAcentral's name for it is "tRNA-His(gtg)". It matches the Rfam family "tRNA". Rfam says of the family: Transfer RNA (tRNA) molecules are approximately 80 nucleotides in length. The record is from RNAcentral. Lineage: Bacteria; Candidatus Moduliflexota; Candidatus Vecturitrichia; Candidatus Vecturitrichales; Candidatus Vecturitrichaceae.
GGUGAGUGUAGCUCAGUUGGUUAGAGCAUCGGGUUGUGGCCCCGAAGGCCGGGAGUUCGAGCCUCCUCACUCACCU